Molecule: ribosomal RNA, 265 nt
Filed under: uncultured bacterium
Lineage: Bacteria
Description: partial 16S ribosomal RNA
Rfam family: Bacterial small subunit ribosomal RNA
Source: RNAcentral
GUCCUUGCCGUAAACGAUGUGGAUUAGGUGUUGGGGGUGUCGAUCCCUCCAGCGCCGACGCUAACGCAUUAAAUCCACCACCUGGGGAGUACGGUCGCAAGACUGAAACUCAAAGAAAUUGACGGGGACCCGCACAAGCGGUGGAGCAUGUGGUUUAAUUCGAGGCUACGCGAAGAACCUUACCCAGGCUUGAAAAGCAGUUGACAGCCCAUGAAAGUGGGUCUUCUCGCAAGAGACAAUUGUACAGGUGCUGCAUGGCUGUCGU